This 253-nucleotide ribosomal RNA is filed under the name uncultured bacterium. RNAcentral's name for it is "partial 16S ribosomal RNA". It matches the Rfam family "Bacterial small subunit ribosomal RNA", at positions 524 to 776 of the family's 1533-position model. The record is from RNAcentral.
UACGUAGGGGGCAAGCGUUGUCCGGAAUCAUUGGGCGUAAAGCGCGUGUAGGCGGCCCGAUAAGUCCGCUGUGAAAGUCCAGGGCUCAACCCUGGAAUGCCGGUGGAUACUGUCGGGCUCGAGUCCGGAAGAGGCGAGUGGAAUUCCUGGUGUAGCGGUGAAAUGCGCAGAUAUCAGGAAGAACACCCGUGGCGAAGGCGGUUCUCUGGAACGCAACUGACGCUGAGACGCGAAAGCGUGGGGAGCAAACAGG